UAGGGUGACCAACCAUUCCUGAUUUGCUCAGGAACUUGGCAGUUUCCUGGGAGGUGGGAAUUUCAGUGCCAACCAGGAUGGCUGGUCAUUCUAUAAAUAG
RNAcentral lists this microRNA precursor (100 nucleotides) under Marmota monax (woodchuck). Lineage: Eukaryota; Metazoa; Chordata; Mammalia; Rodentia; Sciuridae. The record is from RNAcentral.